This 466-nucleotide ribosomal RNA is filed under the name uncultured bacterium. Its description in RNAcentral is "partial 16S ribosomal RNA". It matches the Rfam family "Bacterial small subunit ribosomal RNA", at positions 28 to 507 of the family's 1533-position model. The record is from RNAcentral.
GACGAACGCUGGCGGCGUGCUUAACACAUGCAAGUCGAACGGAAAGGCCCUGCUUGCAGGGUACUCGAGUGGCGAACGGGUGAGUAACACGUGGGUGAUCUGCCCUGCACUUCGGGAUAAGCCUGGCAAACUGGGUCUAAUACCGGAUAGGAGCCAUUUUUAGUGUGAUGGUUGGAAAGUUUUUUUCGGUGUAGGAUGAGCUCGCGGCCUAUCAGCUUGUUGGUGGGGUAAUGGCCUACCAAGGCGGCGACGGGUAGCCGGCCUGAGAGGGUGGACGGCCACAUUGGGACUGAGAUACGGCCCAGACUCCUACGGGAGGCAGCAGUGGGGAAUAUUGCACAAUGGGCGCAAGCCUGAUGCAGCGACGCCGCGUGGGGGAUGACGGCCUUCGGGUUGUAAACUCCUUUCGCUAGGGACGAAGCUUUUUGUGACGGUACCUAGAGAAGAAGCACCGGCUAACUACGUG